Molecule: long non-coding RNA, 1894 nt
Organism: Centropristis striata (black sea bass)
Lineage: Eukaryota; Metazoa; Chordata; Actinopteri; Perciformes; Serranidae
Exons: 3
Source: RefSeq, a predicted model, not a curated record
GGACGUGCUGUCGCUGAAGGAUGUCUGAGCUGAAGGAUGUCCGAGCUGAAGGAUGUCCGAGCGGAGACACCGGAGCGUCCUGUCAACAGCAGAUAAACACUACUUCACCUAAGAGACUUGAGUAUCCAGUUCUUCAUUGACCUUCAGCAUUCAGUUGUUUGUCUUCACCUUUUCAGGUAAGCAAUUUUAAAAAAAUGCUUUUGUAAUGUUGAGAAACACUGAAAUUAUUAUUCAUAAAGAACUUUCAACCACUGUUCUGUGAUGUCAUGUAUAGUGAUAUACAAAUAUAUCUGAAGGAACGGUGUAUUUGGGAUAAUCAAUAUUAUUAGUAUUAUUCAUGUAUUUAUUCAUUUUUAAAUCAGAAUGGGGGAAAAUAGAUUAUUAGUACAAAACCUAGUAACUAGUAAAAAAAAAUUGGUAACAAUAAUGUUCAUUCAUUAAUUGACGCUUGGUCAAACUCUCAUCUAAUUAAGUAUUGCUGUCUCAUUAAUGUAUUAAUGUAUUUAUUUAUUUUGUAGGCUAAAACCUGAGAAGCCAUCACCAUGUUGUUGUUUCACAUCAGAAUAAGUAUUUCACAUGAUGCAGAUUUUUCAGCAUGUGGUCCUCAAUAUAUAGUAUAGAAGUCACUGUAUUUUCUGACUUUUCCAGGUUUCCUGUGUCCAGCAUCUUCAAGACAGACUAAGCUAACUUUUCAUAUUUUUUGCACAUUUAUAUUUAGGUUAGGUUAGGAGUAGGUUAGGUUUAUAGUAGAGUAUUUAGUUUGUAUAGUUUAGCUUUUUAUGCUGGUCUAGGGACAGUUAAGUUAGCAAAUUAAUUUAGUUCAAAUCACUUACAGUUGCAUAUUAUUGUUACAAUUGUGUUAUUUUGUGAGUUAUUGUUGUACAGGCUAUUGUAUAUUGCAGGACCAAGUGAGACGAGGAAGACCGCUGCUUCCAAGAUGCCGCGCUCAGAAAGUGCGUUGGACAAGUCUCGACCUUGCAGAUCCUGCCCAACUUAGCCCAACCACUUCCGACCAUGGGGUACCUCAAAGACCUCCGUCAACCAGCCGGCUGUGGAUGAUGGAUAACGCACCCACAACUCCUUCUCCAGUCUACAAGGUUCUGAAAAUACAGACACCCCCACAGUCCAAGAACAGCUGGAUGACCUCUGGACCCACUUGCCCCCUGUUCACCAGUUGAAAAGAUAGGCUUUUUAAAAAAUUCUUCAAUUGGUAAUUCUGCACAAAGUGAUACACAAAACAUUGUAUGUCUUCCAUUUCAACAAACACAAACAUGAAAUGUAUAUUUAUAAAUACAUAACUUAAUGAGAAUCAAUCAUACUAAACAUCAUCUUUUUUUUUAAACCAACCAUUGCACGCACUUCCAUCCAAGGAGAGGUUGCAUCUUGAUGGUAACUUUUUAGAUUAACAAAACUUUUGUGAGAUUUGUAAUUGUUGUUUCUGGGGAGGGGGCGGAGAGGGUAAGUCUAAACAUUGCAUGCAAGAGACCAACACCGGUGUCUCAGGGGAAAGCUAUCUGUAUACACAAGUAUCAAUCUACUUUGUUGCUUCAAAAUUUUACGAUAGUUUUGCAAUUCCUGACCCAGAGAGAAGCACAUCAAACAAACAAAAAAAGCAAUGGUAGAUUUUCAAGGCCUUUCAAUGACAUGAACAUUAUUUUCAAUGACAUUCAUUUUGCAAUUAACAUUAGUUUUAUCUUCUAAAACAUAACUAUAAUGACAUUCAAAUGUAGAUUACCACAAACACAAUAAUAAACUUCAAGUCUCAUUGGAUAAAAUAAAAAAUUAUUGACAGUCCUGAAAUGAUUGGUUAAACAUCCUUAAUAAGCCUACAUUAAUAAUAUAUUAAUUUCAGGUGAAAUAUUUAUUUUUUACUUUAAAUUCAAAUCUCAUUUAA